This 551-nucleotide ribosomal RNA is filed under the name uncultured Planctomycetota bacterium. Its description in RNAcentral is "bacterial SSU rRNA". It matches the Rfam family "Bacterial small subunit ribosomal RNA", at positions 387 to 934 of the family's 1533-position model. Lineage: Bacteria; Pseudomonadati; Planctomycetota. The record is from RNAcentral.
AGGAGCGACGCCGCGUGUGGGAUGACGGCCCUUGGGUUGUAAACCACUGUCAGAGGGGAUGAAAUUUUUGGGGGCUAUCCCCCUUGAUUGACAGAGCCUCAGAGGAAGCACGGGCUAAGUACGUGCCAGCAGCCGCGGUAACACGUACUGUGCGAACGUUAUUCGGAAUCACUGGGCUUAAAGGGUACGUAGGCGGCUUUUCAAGUCAGGUGUGAAAGCUCUCGGCUCAACCGAGGAAUUGCGCUUGAAACUGAAAGGCUUGAGUGUCCUAGGGGUGAGCGGAACUUCUAGUGGAGCGGUGAAAUGUGUUGAUAUUGGAAGGAACACCAGUAGCGAAGGCGGCUCACUGGGGGACAACUGACGCUGAGGUACGAAAGCCAGGGUAGCGAACGGGAUUAGAUACCCCGGUAGUCCUGGCUGUAAACGCUGAGUACUAGUUGGGAGGAUCUUCGGGUCAUCCUGACGCACUGAAAACAUUAAGUACUCCGCCUGGGGAGUAUGGUCGCAAGGCUGAAACUCCAAGGAAUUGACGGGGGCUCACACAAAAAAGG